AGCCAUGAAGGAACGUUCCGCCCACGGUAAGUGCGAAACCUAACCUGCUGCACUGCGCCUGCACUCCUAACUCUGCACUGCACGCCUAGACCUGACCGCUAUUCAGCCUGUAUCGCCGGCCACCAUAGCGAAAACAUCUCUGUCACCUGUUUCGCUGGUGGCAAUGGCGAAACCGGUGCCCACGUCUCGCCAACAUGCAUGGCGGAACACUUUGUAAAACUGACCCUUUGUUUCGAAACAGCUCCUUAUCGAGAAUAAGCAAUUCUGACCAGCUUGUAAUCGGAGUUCCUCGAGUCGAAGCCGAAGCCAAAGCAAGAAGAAUAGUCGUAACCGUAGUUGCAGGGUGAGGGGAGGCUAAUGAAUCGCCGAACACAAGGGUUGUAAAUGAUGACAGAUUGGUAUCCUUUAGUGGCGGAGGCCGUCACAGAGGGCAACGACGGAGGUGAAAAAGAGAUUGUUGAAGAAGGGAAGGGACAAGGUGGAGGAGUGGGUGAGGAAGGGGUCGUCACAGUGGAAAGAGUAGCCAAGGAGGAGAAGGGAGGGGGAGUGGCGGUGGUGGAGGGAGAUGAAGGAAGAACUGCAUAUUAGAGACCGCCAUGACUAAUCUUCUUUGGUGGAAGUCUACGAAGAAUUUCCGCCAAGAUUUCAUCAGGGAAUAGGUUAUCAGACAUUGUUCUUUCAACUUACGAUCAAAAUUAAUUUAUUCACGCCACUGUCUAACUUGGCCAAUUGGCUAUAUUUAUUAAUAAAAUGUUGCAGGUCUCACUGUCAAGGAAUCCCUUGCAAGUUGCAACUUUUUGUAUCAUUUACCAAUCACAUGCCGAAUAAAGAUUCACCUAGAAUCUUAUAUUAUCAUACACUUUGAAAGAAGAUGGUGUCUAUGCUAAACCAGUUUUGCAAAUGGUCUAUUGUGGAUCACUUUUGAACACCGUUAGAUUCUUCACCUCAUCUACACAUUGAUACUGUACGUGCAUUCUUAGUAUCUUUUUUUUUCCUCUCUCUUUCUUCCUUCCCUCCUCCGCUCCGACAAGUUCACCGCCGCUCGCCGCCACCAGAACCCCCCUCCAUUCUCUGACUGUCUGCCGCCACUCACAGCUGCCUGAUGCAAUAUAAUAGUUAUUACUAUUGAAAUACUUUUCUAAUGACUAAUCUAAAUACAUACCAAUAUUAUCCAAUUCGGAAAAAAGUAAGACAUAUUUAUAAAAGUCAUCUUACGAUGAUCUAGGAUGUGGAUGAGUUACUAUCUAUUAUGCAUUAUUGUAGACUAUUGUUUUUACAUUACAAUCAUUGUACAUCUCAUAUCAAAAAAGAAAACAGAAUAAAUAUCAUAUCAUUAAUUAUAAGA
Molecule: long non-coding RNA, 1345 nt
Organism: Glycine soja
Lineage: Eukaryota; Viridiplantae; Streptophyta; Magnoliopsida; Fabales; Fabaceae
Exons: 2
Source: RefSeq, a predicted model, not a curated record